RNAcentral lists this ribosomal RNA (767 nucleotides) under Bacillaceae bacterium b66B(2010). RNAcentral describes it as "bacterial SSU rRNA". It matches the Rfam family "Bacterial small subunit ribosomal RNA", at positions 48 to 784 of the family's 1533-position model. Lineage: Bacteria; Bacillati; Bacillota; Bacilli; Caryophanales; Bacillaceae. The record is from RNAcentral.
CUAAUACAUGCAAGUCGAGCGCAGGAAACCAGAUGACCCCUUCGGGGUGAUUCUGGUGGAAUGAGCGGCGGACGGGUGAGUAACACGUGGGCAACCUGCCUGUAAGACUGGGAUAACUUCGGGAAACCGGAGCUAAUACCGGAUAGUAUUUCCUUUCUCCUGAUUGGAAAUGGAAAGACGGUUUCGGCUGUCACUUACAGAUGGGCCCGCGGUGCAUUAGCUAGUUGGUGGGGUAAUGGCCCACCAAGGCGACGAUGCAUAGCCGACCUGAGAGGGUGAUCGGCCACACUGGGACUGAGACACGGCCCAGACUCCUACGGGAGGCAGCAGUAGGGAAUCUUCCGCAAUGGACGAAAGUCUGACGGAGCAACGCCGCGUGAGCGAUGAAGGCCUUCGGGUCGUAAAGCUCUGUUGUUAGGGAAGAACAAGUACGAGAGUAACUGCUCGUACCUUGACGGUACCUAACCAGAAAGCCCCGGCUAACUACGUGCCAGCAGCCGCGGUAAUACGUAGGGGGCAAGCGUUGUCCGGAAUUAUUGGGCGUAAAGGGCUCGUAGGCGGUUUCUUAAGUCUGAUGUGAAAGCCCACAGCUCAACUGUGGAGGGUCAUUGGAAACUGGGGAACUUGAGUGCAGAAGAGGAGAGUGGAAUUCCACGUGUAGCGGUGAAAUGCGUAGAUAUGUGGAGGAACACCAGUGGCGAAGGCGACUCUCUGGUCUGUAACUGACGCUGAGGAGCGAAAGCGUGGGGAGCAAACAGGAUUAGAUA